RNAcentral lists this unclassified non-coding RNA (433 nucleotides) under soil metagenome. Its description in RNAcentral is "partial contains 5.8S ribosomal RNA, internal transcribed spacer 2, and large subunit ribosomal RNA". The stretch from base 1 to 120 matches the Rfam family "5.8S ribosomal RNA", at positions 35 to 154 of the family's 154-position model. The record is from RNAcentral.
GAUGAAGAACGUAGCGAAAUGCGAUACGUAAUGUGAAUUGCAGAAUUCAGUGAAUCAUCGAAUCUUUGAACGCAUAUUGCGCUCUCUGGUAUUCCGGAGAGCAUGCUUGUUUGAGUAUCAGUAAACACCUCAACUUCCAUAUCUUUUUUGAAAUGGGAGUUGGACUUGAGUGAUCCCAACGCUUUUCCUCACCGAAAAGCGGCGGGUGACUUGAAAUGCAGGUGCAGCUGGACUUUUCUCUGAGCUAUAAGCAUAUCUAUUUAGUCUGCCUAAAAAACAGAUUAUUACCUUUGCUGCAGCUAACAUAAAGGAGAUUAGUUCUUGUGCUGACUGAUGCAGGAUUCACAAAGACAGGCUUCGGCCGACUUUGUAAACUCGAUCUCAAAUCAAGUAAGACUACCCGCUGAACUUAAGCAUAUCAAUAAGCGGAGGA